UUAUGCAGAUUUAUGCACGACGCUACUACACUCGCACAAACUGAGAAGAGUAAGUUCAUUGAGAAUGGAUUGAAACUAAUGAAGAGCUGGAAGGAGUUAACUGAUGAGUAGACAUUACAACAUUUCUUAUAUUUGCAAGAUGAAGCUGAAAGUCCCAUUGCAGGAUGAUGCUUCUCUACAGUGGAUGAUGAAGGCAUGCUGAUUACAAACCCAGGAGAGGAACAAAGAACAGAUAUUGACAGAAGCAUAUCUAGAGAUGCGGGCCUACUACACUUCAUACGAGCAAGUGUGCUAAUAUACAAUGUAGGUACCCCCAAUAACCUAUUGUAGAACACAUAUCAUGCAGAAAGUUAUAGAUCUGAAAAACAUAUUUUUCAUUGUCCGUUACUUGUAAAAGAAUACUUGACUGAAUAUCACAAUUGUGAUUUAGAUUUAAA
This 437-nucleotide long non-coding RNA is filed under the name Strongylocentrotus purpuratus (purple sea urchin). Its description in RNAcentral is "uncharacterized LOC115925565". Lineage: Eukaryota; Metazoa; Echinodermata; Echinoidea; Camarodonta; Strongylocentrotidae. The record is from RNAcentral.